UCUUAUCCAGAGAGGUGGAGGGAAAGGGCCCUAUGAAACCCGGCAACCGGUGCGUAGCACAAUGGUGCCAAUUCCUGCAGAAAUAUUCUGCAAGAUAAGA
RNAcentral lists this non-coding RNA (100 nucleotides) under Clostridium senegalense. RNAcentral describes it as "SAM riboswitch (S box leader)". It matches the Rfam family "SAM riboswitch aptamer (S box leader)". Rfam says of the family: The SAM riboswitch is found upstream of a number of genes which code for proteins involved in methionine or cysteine biosynthesis in Gram-positive bacteria. The SAM riboswitch acts at the level of transcription termination control. The predicted structure consists of a complex stem-loop region followed by a single stem loop terminator region. Lineage: Bacteria; Bacillati; Bacillota; Clostridia; Eubacteriales; Clostridiaceae. The record is from RNAcentral.